AAUCAACGCUGGCGGCAUGCCUAACACAUGCAAGUCGAACGGGAAAGUGGGAGCAAUCCCAUGAGUAUAGUGGCGCACGGGUGAGUAACACGUGACUAACCUACCCUCGAGUGGGGAAUAACCCCGGGAAACCGGGGCUAACACCGCAUAAUACCGCAAGGUCAAAUGCGCAAGCAGCUUGAGGAGGGGGUCGCGGUUGAUUAGCUAGUUGGUAGGGUAAUGGCCUACCAAGGCAGNGAUCAAUAGCCGGCCUGAGAGGGCGCACGGCCACACUGGAACUGAAACACGGUCCAGACUCCUACGGGAGGCAGCAGUGGGGAAUUUUGCGCAAUGGGGGAAACCCUGACGCAGCAAUGCCGCGUGGAGGAUGAAGUCCUUUGGGAUGUAAACUCCUUUCGAUCGGGAAGAUAAUGACGGUACCGGAAGAAGAAGCCCCGGCUAACUCUGUGCCAGCCGCCGCGGUAAU
This 466-nucleotide ribosomal RNA is filed under the name uncultured bacterium. Its description in RNAcentral is "bacterial SSU rRNA". It matches the Rfam family "Bacterial small subunit ribosomal RNA", at positions 32 to 524 of the family's 1533-position model. The record is from RNAcentral.